RNAcentral lists this ribosomal RNA (474 nucleotides) under uncultured bacterium. Its description in RNAcentral is "bacterial SSU rRNA". It matches the Rfam family "Bacterial small subunit ribosomal RNA", at positions 29 to 519 of the family's 1533-position model. The record is from RNAcentral.
AACAAACGCUGGCGGCGUGCCUAAUACAUGCAAGUCGAACGGGGAAAGCUUUCGGGUGAGUACUAGUGGCGCACGGGUGAGUAACGCGUGAGUAAUCUUCCUUAGAGUGGGGGAUAACCAGUCGAAAGAUUGGCUAAUACCGCAUAAGACCACAAGAUCUGCGGAUCAAGGGGUAAAAGGUUUUUCGCUCUAAGAUGAGCUCGCGUGAGAUUAGCUAGUUGGUGAGGUAAUGGCUCACCAAGGCGACGAUCUCUAACAGGUCUGAGAGGAUGAUCUGUCACACUGGAACUGAGACACGGUCCAGACUCCUACGGGAGGCAGCAGUAGGGAAUAUUGCACAAUGGAGGAAACUCUGAUGCAGCGACGCCGCGUGAGUGAUGAAGGACUUCGGUUCGUAAAGCUCUGUCGUAUGGGAAUAAGAAAGUGAAUGUACCAUGCAAGAAAGGAUCGGCUAACUUCGUGCCAGCAGCCGCG